Transfer RNA from Penicillium decumbens, 84 nucleotides. It matches the Rfam family "tRNA". From Rfam's summary of the family: Transfer RNA (tRNA) molecules are approximately 80 nucleotides in length. The record is from Rfam. NCBI's taxonomy places the organism in Eukaryota, Fungi, Ascomycota, Eurotiomycetes, Eurotiales, Aspergillaceae.
GGGACGAUAGCUCAGUUGGGAGAGCGUGCGAUUGAAGUUACUUCGAUCUUCGCAAGGUCGCUGGUUCGAUCCCGGCUCGUCCCA